GCUACUCUUCUUCGGAUUCACUUGAGUCGUCCCAUGUUGCUUUGAGAGUCUUCUUCUUUGGUGUCCUCUUCUUGGCUUGGAGACAUUCGCUCUUAUAGUGUCCUGGCUUCUUGCAUUCGUAGCAUAUUGCAUGAUUUUUCUUGGGUUCAAAUUUAUUUUUAGUGUCAUUUUUAAAUUUAUUCCUUCUUAUGAAUUUUUUGAAUUUUCUUGUUGAGAGUACCAAGUCUUCAUCAAGGUCCUCAUCACUUGAGUUUUCUUUCAAGUGAUCUUCUUG
Molecule: long non-coding RNA, 274 nt
Filed under: Musa acuminata (dwarf banana)
Lineage: Eukaryota; Viridiplantae; Streptophyta; Magnoliopsida; Zingiberales; Musaceae
Description: long non-coding RNA (MACU_LNC007615)
Source: RNAcentral